Molecule: ribosomal RNA, 791 nt
Filed under: Staphylococcus aureus
Lineage: Bacteria; Bacillati; Bacillota; Bacilli; Caryophanales; Staphylococcaceae
Description: partial 23S ribosomal RNA
Rfam family: Bacterial large subunit ribosomal RNA
Source: RNAcentral
GGUGAAAAGCACCCCGGAAGGGGAGUGAAAUAGAACCUGAAACCGUGUGCUUACAAGUAGUCAGAGCCCGUUAAUGGGUGAUGGCGUGCCUUUUGUAGAAUGAACCGGCGAGUUACGAUUUGAUGCAAGGUUAAGCAGUAAAUGUGGAGCCGUAGCGAAAGCGAGUCUGAAUAGGGCGUUUAGUAUUUGGUCGUAGACCCGAAACCAGGUGAUCUACCCUUGGUCAGGUUGAAGUUCAGGUAACACUGAAUGGAGGACCGAACCGACUUACGUUGAAAAGUGAGCGGAUGAACUGAGGGUAGCGGAGAAAUUCCAAUCGAACCUGGAGAUAGCUGGUUCUCUCCGAAAUAGCUUUAGGGCUAGCCUCAAGUGAUGAUUAUUGGAGGUAGAGCACUGUUUGGACGAGGGGCCCCUCUCGGGUUACCGAAUUCAGACAAACUCCGAAUGCCAAUUAAUUUAACUUGGGAGUCAGAACAUGGGUGAUAAGGUCCGUGUUCGAAAGGGAAACAGCCCAGACCACCAGCUAAGGUCCCAAAAUAUAUGUUAAGUGGAAAAGGAUGUGGCGUUGCCCAGACAACUAGGAUGUUGGCUUAGAAGCAGCCAUCAUUUAAAGAGUGCGUAAUAGCUCACUAGUCGAGUGACACUGCGCCGAAAAUGUACCGGGGCUAAACAUAUUACCGAAGCUGUGGAUUGUCCUUUGGACAAUGGUAGGAGAGCGUUCUAAGGGCGUUGAAGCAUGAUCGUAAGGACAUGUGGAGCGCUUAGAAGUGAGAAUGCCGGUGUGAGUAGCG